This 922-nucleotide ribosomal RNA is filed under the name uncultured Bacteroidota bacterium. RNAcentral describes it as "bacterial SSU rRNA". It matches the Rfam family "Bacterial small subunit ribosomal RNA", at positions 1 to 916 of the family's 1533-position model. The record is from RNAcentral. Lineage: Bacteria; Pseudomonadati; Bacteroidota.
GGAUCCAGACUUUGAUUAUGGCUCAGGAUGAACGCUAGCUACAGGCUUAACACAUGCAAGUCGAGGGGCAGCGGGAUUGAAGCUUGCUUCAAUUGCCGGCGACCGGCGCACGGGUGAGUAACGCGUAUCCAACCUUCCGUACACUCAGGGAUAGCCUUUCGAAAGAAAGAUUAAUACCUGAUAGUAUCUUAAGCACACAUGUAAUUAAGAUUAAAGAUUUAUCGGUGUACGAUGGGGAUGCGUUCCAUUAGGUAGUAGGCGGGGUAACGGCCCACCUAGCCAACGAUGGAUAGGGGUUCUGAGAGGAAGGUCCCCCACAUUGGAACUGAGACACGGUCCAAACUCCUACGGGAGGCAGCAGUGAGGAAUAUUGGUCAAUGGACGAGAGUCUGAACCAGCCAAGUAGCGUGAAGGAUGAAGGUCCUACGGAUUGUAAACUUCUUUUAUAAGGGAAUAAACCCUCCCACGUGUGGGAGCUUGUAUGUACCUUAUGAAUAAGCAUCGGCUAACUCCGUGCCAGCAGCCGCGGUAAUACGGAGGAUGCGAGCGUUAUCCGGAUUUAUUGGGUUUAAAGGGAGCGCAGACGGGUCGUUAAGUCAGCUGUGAAAGUUUGGGGCUUAACCUUAAAAUUGCAGUUGAUACUGGCGUCCUUGAGUGCGGUUGAGGUGUGCGGAAUUCGUGGUGUAGCGGUGAAAUGCUUAGAUAUCACGAAGAACUCCGAUUGCGAAGGCAGCACACUAAUCCGUAACUGACGUUCAUGCUCGAAAGUGUGGGUAUCAAACAGGAUUAGAUACCCUGGUAGUCCACACGGUAAACGAUGGAUACUCGCUGUUGGCGAUAUACUGUCAGCGGCUUAGCGAAAGCGUUAAGUAUCCCACCUGGGGAGUACGCCGGCAACGGUGCAACUCAAAGGAAUUGACGG